CAGCAGCCGCGGGAAAACGUAGGUGGCAAGCGUUGUCCGGAAUUAUUGGGCGUAAAGGGCUCGCAGGCGGUUUCUUAAGUCUGAUGUGAAAGCCCCCGGCUCAACCGGGGAGGGUCAUUGGAAACUGGGAAACUUGAGUGCAGAAGAGGAGAGUGGAAUUCCACGUGUAGCGGUGAAAUGCGUAGAGAUGUGGAGGAACACCAGUGGCGAAGGCGACUCUCUGGUCUGUAACUGACGCUGAGGAGCGAAAGCGUGGGGAGCGAACAGGAUUAGAUACCAGGGUAGUCCCUGUCUCUUAUAC
RNAcentral lists this ribosomal RNA (301 nucleotides) under uncultured bacterium. RNAcentral describes it as "partial 16S ribosomal RNA". It matches the Rfam family "Bacterial small subunit ribosomal RNA", at positions 509 to 807 of the family's 1533-position model. The record is from RNAcentral.